AGGCCUGUAGCUCAACUGGCUAGAGCGCCGGUCUCCAAAACCGGAGGCUGGGGGUUCGAUUCCCUCCAGGCCUGCCA
RNAcentral lists this transfer RNA (77 nucleotides) under bacterium. RNAcentral describes it as "tRNA-Trp". It matches the Rfam family "tRNA". From Rfam's summary of the family: Transfer RNA (tRNA) molecules are approximately 80 nucleotides in length. Their secondary structure includes four short double-helical elements and three loops (D, anti-codon, and T loops). The record is from RNAcentral. RNAcentral also lists the same sequence under 3 other names.